CUUGCGAUGUGCCUAAGGUAUGUAAGUCGAACGAUUCCUGUAUCUUCGGAUACGGGGAGUGGCAAACGGCUGAGUAACGCGUAGGAACCUACCCCAAACUCGAGUAUAGCCCCGCGAAAGCGGGGGUAAUCCUCGAUAGCCCGUGAAGUAUUUUACUUCACGGUAAAGCUUUUGCGGUUUGGGAUGGGCCUGCGUCCUAUCAGGUAGUUGGUGAGGUAAAUGCUCACCAAGCCUAUGACGGGUAGCUGGUCUGAGAGGAUGGUCAGCCAGACUGGGACUGCGACACGGCCCAGACUCCUACGGGAGGCAGCAACUAGGAAUUGUGCGCAAUGGACGAAAGUCUGACGCCGCGACAUCGCGUGGAGGAUGAAGGUCUUCGGAUUGUAAACUCCUUUUCUUACCGAACAAGUUCUGAGUGUAGGUAAGGAAUAAGUGCCUGCUAACCACGUGCCAGAAGCAUCGGUAAUACGUGGGGCACGAGCGUUAUCCGGGUUUACUGGGCGUAAAGAGAAGCGUAGGCGGCUCGAUAAGUUUGGUGUUAAAUCUUCCGGCUCAACCGGAAACAAGCACCGAAAACUAUCGAGAUUGAGUCGAGUAGGGAAGAGGGGAAUUCCUGGUGGAGCGGUUAAAUGCGUAGAUAUCAGGAGGAAUACCAAGGGCGAAGGCACCUCUUUGGACUCGUACUGACGCUGAGGCUCGAAAGCGUGGGUAGCAAAACGGAUUAGAUACCCGUGUAGUCCACGCCGUAAACGAUCCCUGUUAGAUGU
RNAcentral lists this ribosomal RNA (767 nucleotides) under uncultured organism. RNAcentral describes it as "bacterial SSU rRNA". It matches the Rfam family "Bacterial small subunit ribosomal RNA", at positions 36 to 823 of the family's 1533-position model. The record is from RNAcentral.